Molecule: non-coding RNA, 2181 nt
Organism: Camelina sativa (false flax)
Lineage: Eukaryota; Viridiplantae; Streptophyta; Magnoliopsida; Brassicales; Brassicaceae
Source: RefSeq, a predicted model, not a curated record
UUAAGUUCCAAAUUUUGAUCUUUCACAUUUGUACGCAAGAAAAUUCAUUUAGAAAAAAAAAACACUUAUUUUACUUUUGUGAGAGAAAAAAUAAAAGACAAAAGAUUAAAACUGCUACACCUCUUCCCCCACGAUCUCCACUUCCUCUUAUUUCGCUCAGUUAUGGAACACCAAGCUGAUUUCAUACAAAAAGCUCCCAAUUUCUUUUUGUUCUCAUCUCUUUUUCAGCUUCCUUCAAAUCGGGUUCAUAAUCGAUACUUCAUUUUCCAGAUAUGCCGCUCGAUAUUACGCCUAUUUCCCAAUUAACCCUAGCAUCAGAUCCAUGUAAAAUCAAUGUUCGAAUUGUUCGUCUUUGGGGAUUUCCAAAAAAAGAUAAACCAGAUGAGUUUUCAGGAAUCGAUCUUCUCCUUGUGGACGAAAAUGGAAGUAGGAUUCAAGCUUCUAAAAGGAAAAUUGCUCUCAAAAUUUCAGAAGGACUUAAAAAGAAGGGGAUUGUUGUUCUGUUAUAAACUUUGAAUUAUGCCCGAAUCUUGGAAAUUUUUGAACUUGCGACCAUCCUUACAAGAUCAAUUUCAUUUUCUACACAUGUGUUAAACCAAGCGAGGAGAUUCCUUCAUCUGAUCAGGAAUUAAUUUUUACAAUGUUUGGGAGCAGUUUCGUAGUGGCCGUGAUCAGGAAUUGAUCAGUUUGAGACAUGGAAUGGUGCUUCCUUCAUCUGAUGACUCAGAGGAGUUAAGUUGUGACUCAGAGGAGUAGAAAAAAGAUAAGAAGAAUCAUAUUAGAAGAUAAAGAUGAUAAUUUGACGAAGGAAGACAAAGACAUAUUAUUUAUUUCUUUUUAAAUGUUAAUUUAAAGUUAAAAUUCACCAUUUUUAAUUAGGCUGUGCAACGACACGGGCCAUGACACUAGUAUAGCAUAAGAACAAAGGGGACACUUGUUGUAUUACCUACCAUAUUAUUCCUCAGUAGAACCCUAAAUAAAUAAACCCCUCACAUUCUUCUUCUGUACGAUGGCGGAACAUCUGACGAGAGGAGCAAUCGAGAAGAUGCUUAAUGGAGAAGUGAAUAGCGAGAGAGAAAUGAUGCCGGUGCUUCAAGCGACGCAACUGAGGCUUCUCCGGCGCAAUGAUAAUCCGCAAGAGGAUAAGAUUAGGGUUGUUUUGUCUGAUGGAACGUGGUUGCUACAGGGAAUACUCGGGACUCAUCUGAGCGGACGCGUGAAAGAAGGGUUACUUCGAAUUGGUGACAUUGUUCGGCUCACUCAUUUCAUCUGUCCGGUGAUUGUCACCGACGAACGAAGCGACGAUAUUGUUGUUGUGAAUUUGGAGGUGGUAUCAUUAGCCCAGUCUGAUAUAAUUGGACACACUCUUCUUCUUGAAGUUAAGCCUAAAGAUGAACAACUAUAUCAGCAGCUGACGUCUUCUUCUGAUGAAGCUAGCUAUGUCAUUUGAUGGGUUGCCUCUAGGUGAGGAUACAUUAGGAGACGAUACCAUUGUUCCCGAUUCCCAAGAGAGCGAAGUUCGAUAUCUGAACUUAAAGGAGACCGUUUCUAAAGAAUUGAAGUGCUUCCGCGAGCACCUCGUUGGUGCUAAACGUUUCAUCUAGGACACCAGGAACACAAAAGAUCAGAUCCGGGCCUCCAUCAGGUGUUUCAAGACGUUGAUAGAUAAUUUUUACAAUGUUUGGGAGCAGUUUCGUAGUGGCUGUGAUCAGGAAUUGAUCAGUUUGAGACAUGGAAUGGUGCUUCCUUCAUCUCAUGACUCAGAGGAUUAAGUUGUGAUCAACUUCGCUUAAAUAUGCUCAUACUCUCUUCAAUUCUCGAGGGAGAAGACUUUAAAUUCUUUUGUGGAAGCUUUCGCUCCUUUUGUUACAAUACGCAAAGAGUCCGCUAGUACUAUGGAUGCUCUCACGGAAAUCCAACAUGUUGUGGAAGAUAGUGAUACUUUGAUUUAUAGGGUCACACACGAAGGCUUCGACGGCAGGUACAUCUCAGCGGAAGAUGAAGCUGAUGAUAUUGAGUGGUAAAAUGGUGGAACGAUGCUAGCUCUUACUUCUGAUGUCAAAUGUCAAAUGUUGAGGUAACGUCUAUCUUUUCCUUAAUUAUUGCUUAAAAUAGUAUAUGUAUGGAUCCACCUGCAAGCUUUAGCUUCUUCAUAUAACAUUCUCUCCCCGUAUUAGUUUA